AGUGGAAUAGUUGGGUCAUAUGGUUGUUCUGUCAUAGUUUUUUGAGGAAUCUCUAUAUUGCUUUCCAGAGUGGCUGCACUAAUUCUCAAUCCCACCAGCAAU
This 102-nucleotide microRNA precursor is filed under the name Marmota monax (woodchuck). The record is from RNAcentral. Lineage: Eukaryota; Metazoa; Chordata; Mammalia; Rodentia; Sciuridae.